GACGAACGCUGGCGGCGUGCUUAACACAUGCAAGUCGAACGGAAAGGCCCUGCUUUUGUGGGGUGCUCGAGUGGCGAACGGGUGAGUAACACGUGAGUAACCUGCCCUUGACUUUGGGAUAACUUCAGGAAACUGGGGCUAAUACCGGAUAGGAGCUCCUGCUGCAUGGUGGGGGUUGGAAAGUUUCGGCGGUUGGGGAUGGACUCGCGGCUUAUCAGCUUGUUGGGGGGGUAGUGGCUUACCAAGGCUUUGACGGGUAGCCGGCCUGAGAGGGUGACCGGCCACAUGGGGACUGAGAGACGGCCCAGACUCCUACGGGAGGCAGCAGUGGGGAAUAUUGCACAAUGGGCGGAAGCCUGGUGCAGCAACGCCGCGUGCGGGAUGACGGCCUUCGGGUUGUAAACCGCUUUCGCCUGUGACGAAGCGUGAGUGACGGUAAUGGGUAAAGAAGCACCGGCUAACUACGUG
This 468-nucleotide ribosomal RNA is filed under the name uncultured bacterium. RNAcentral's name for it is "partial 16S ribosomal RNA". It matches the Rfam family "Bacterial small subunit ribosomal RNA", at positions 28 to 507 of the family's 1533-position model. The record is from RNAcentral.